GUAGUAGCUGCAGGAGCAACAACCAACAAAACUACAACGAAUAAAGUAUGCAUUAUCCUAAAGUCUUUUUUUGGGCUACAAAAGUUAAUGUGAUAUUUUAAACAUUUUAAACAUUUUUUACAAGCUACGUGGAGGGAAUUUUCAGGCUUGCGUGAGUUGUAAAAGGAUCAAGGUCUAAGCAACAGCAAAUUUUAGUCAAAUAAAAUUGAUUAGCUAUUCUCUCCACAGCCUGCCAAAGCCAGUGUAGCCCGCCUUGCUGAGUAGAGUAUCAACAUGAGCGAAACACAAUAAACAACUUCAUCAAGCGGCUGCGGCUGCGGCUGCGGCGGCUGCAAAUUCUCGUUGUAUGGCUCAGAGCUGUGCAAAUAUUUUUGGGCAAUCCCGAAAGCGUAACGAAAAUAGAAAAAGCGCCCGAAAAAGUUGGGCGCAAGGCUGGAGCUUAAAUAAAUAGUGUUGUGCGGGUGGGGCAGGGGCAGCAAAUGGUGGCAGGCAUCACAAUGGUCGCUCGGCCACCUAAAAAGUAUGCAACACUUUCUCAAGUUGCUUUCGUCCUUGCCAGGCGCCUUUCCUCCACGCCUGAUCCUUUACAACUUUUGUUUCUUGUGCAUUUUCAUUAAAUAGUGUUGUUCGCCUCGCCCCCGUCCUUUGUUGCCUCCGUCGCUGUACUUUACUUUGCAUAUUUUAACUGCUUAUGGCUCGUUUCGACACGCCUUCGUCAUGCAACAAGGAAACACCCCGAAAAAAGGAGAGCGGCAUCAGAACAUUGUAAUAAAAAAUAAACUUUACACUUUGCUGCUUCACUCCCAAAC
This 809-nucleotide long non-coding RNA is filed under the name Drosophila guanche. The record is from RNAcentral. Lineage: Eukaryota; Metazoa; Arthropoda; Insecta; Diptera; Drosophilidae.